RNAcentral lists this non-coding RNA (180 nucleotides) under Peptococcaceae bacterium. Its description in RNAcentral is "6S RNA". It matches the Rfam family "6S / SsrS RNA". From Rfam's summary of the family: E. coli 6S RNA was the first non coding RNA to be sequenced, but its function was unknown until recently. It consists of 184 nucleotides that fold into an extended hairpin structure with a large single-stranded internal bulge. Lineage: Bacteria; Bacillati; Bacillota; Clostridia; Eubacteriales; Peptococcaceae. The record is from RNAcentral.
UAAGCCCUACUGUGUGCGUGAGUCUGCCGGAGUUUUGAGCCAACACUUUAACAUUGGGAACCUUGAGCUCUAAACGUGGCAUGAAGGCCCCUUGCGCAGGGGAAUCAAGAAGCGUUUAGGAGGGUACCCACCUGCUUAGGCAGGUUCAAAACCCGGUUCCACGGCAUAGGUGGGGUUUGU